This 468-nucleotide ribosomal RNA is filed under the name uncultured bacterium. Its description in RNAcentral is "partial 16S ribosomal RNA". It matches the Rfam family "Bacterial small subunit ribosomal RNA", at positions 28 to 507 of the family's 1533-position model. The record is from RNAcentral.
GACGAACGCUGGCGGCGUGCUUAACACAUGCAAGUCGAACGGAAAGGCCCUGCUUUUGUGGGGUGCUCGAGUGGCGAACGGGUGAGUAACACGUGAGUAACCUGCCCUUGACUUUGGGAUAACUUCAGGAAACUGGGGCUAAUACCGGAUAGGAGCUCCUGCCGCAUGGUGGGGGUUGGAAAGUUUCGGCGGUUGGGGAUGGACUCGCGGCUUAUCAGCUUGUUGGUGGGGUAGUGGCUUACCAAGGCUUUGACGGGUAGCCGGCCUGAGAGGGUGACCGGCCACAUUGGGACUGAGCUACGGCCCAGACUCCUACGGGAGGCAGCAGUGGGGAAUAUUGCACAAUGGGCGGAAGCCUGAUGCAGCAACGCCGCGUGCGGGAUGACGGCCUUCGGGUUGUAAACCGCUUUCGCCUGUGACGAAGCGUGAGUGACGGUAAUGGGUAAAGAAGCACCGGCUAACUACGUG